AUCCCAGCACUUUGGGAGGCCGAGGCAGGUGGAUCACCUGAGGUCAGGAGUUCGAGACCAGCCUGGCCAACAUGGAGAAACCCCGUCUCUACUAAAAAUACAAAAAUUAGCCGGGCGAGGUGGCGGGCGCCUGUAGUCCCAGCUCCUCGGGAGGGUGAGGCAGGAGAAUGGCGUGAACCCGGGAGGCGGAGCUUGCAGUGAGCUGAGA
Cercocebus atys (sooty mangabey) is the source of this 208-nucleotide long non-coding RNA. RefSeq lists it as uncharacterized. The transcript is spliced from 3 exons. The record is from RefSeq and is a predicted model, not a curated record. NCBI's taxonomy places the organism in Eukaryota, Metazoa, Chordata, Mammalia, Primates, Cercopithecidae.